UACGGAGGGGACUAGCGUUGUUCGGAAUUACUGGGCGUAAAGCGCACGUAGGCGGCUUUGCAAGUCAGGGGUGAAAUCCCGGGGCUCAACCUCGGAACUGCCUUUGAUACUGCAAAUCUCGAGUCCGGAAGAGGUGAGUGGAAUUCCUAGUGUAGAGGUGAAAUUCGUAGAUAUUAGGAAGAACACCAGUGGCGAAGGCGGCUCACUGGGCCGGUACUGACGCUGAGGUGCGAAAGCGUGGGGAGCAAACAGG
This 253-nucleotide ribosomal RNA is filed under the name uncultured bacterium. Its description in RNAcentral is "partial 16S ribosomal RNA". It matches the Rfam family "Bacterial small subunit ribosomal RNA", at positions 524 to 776 of the family's 1533-position model. The record is from RNAcentral.